Non-coding RNA from Xyrichtys novacula (pearly razorfish), 8355 nucleotides. NCBI's taxonomy places the organism in Eukaryota, Metazoa, Chordata, Actinopteri, Labriformes, Labridae. The record is from the annotation of a GenBank genome assembly.
GGCAUGGCUGAUUUGGGUGGCAGCCCGGCACACUGAAGCCAUUUGUGAGGAGAAGGCUUGAGACCCCCUUCUGGUAGACUGACCAAAAUUUAGGCUGAGUCAGCAUUUCCAUUAUGGCGAACACAGCUGAUUAAGCUUCAGAAACAAAUGGGUAAUGUCCACGAUGCUAACUCCAAUCAUUGUACAGUCCAUGCUUUUACCUGUUGUGUUGUCACACCUGCUAACCCUGUUGGAUAGGGCUUCACAAAUGCAGCUGGAAUUUUCUGGAAAUUCUAUCUACUGAUAGAUGAUUGCUCCCCAAUGUGAUUCUGUCAUAAUUAUUGUGCAGAAUAUGCAAAGAUGUAUCCUUGACAGUGUGAGAUGCUUGUCACAGACGCGCCUCAUUGUAUCAUAGUGUGCUGAAACUUUGGCCGAACUUGUGCCUGUCCCUUAGGACAGUGUUAAAUGGGUGUUAACCUCCACAUUACAAGCCAAGUGUGAGCUACACACUGCUUAAUUUCUUUGCCCCCAACCCCCCACAUUUAAAAAUAGCGGUGAAGCGACAGCCGAGCUCGAUGCAUUAUUGAUACAGGCGGUGUCAAUGAUGCAUGUGCUAAGACACCGGUGCUAAUUUUCACUCCCAUGUAGAGGCUGGAAACAUUGACCUGCUGUCAUUCAUUUGCGUUGUUAUUGCUGCUUUUUUGACCCCGGCCAUGAGGACAGGGUAGCUUAAAUACGGCAGCUCCUCUUGACUUAUGAUGGCUGCAGUGAUUGGGUUAAGUGUAGCAGGGUUUUGUGUGCCACUGUGUCACUGAGGACCCCCCUGCUGCAGCAUUAGCAGCCGCAGCAUCAGCAACCCUGUCUGGCCUCUGCUGUGUGAUGUUUGGCAGUCGGGGGGCUGGAUUCAUCACCAUCACGCUGAUCCAAGGGCCGAUCUGAUGGCAUCGGUUUUUACGAUGCCCCGGCUUUCCUGUUCAGUCACAUUAUGAAAGCAUGACAAGUGUUUUUUUUUCUUCUUUUUUGUCACUGCCAUGUUGCUUCUGCUGUUGGAGAUGUGAUGAGUGCAGACAUUUUUUCUGUGUCAUCACUGUGAAAACCCUGCCCUAAAGCCUACUAUCAAACUUUCACACACACACAUUUGCACAUGUACAAGUACACACGCGCACGCUUACACACACUGACACUGACUAAAGAGUGAUUCAGUGAUUGAGGAGGGGCUUUCUUUAACAAUUUGAGUGCAGUGGAGGCUAACACAAACCCUUUAACAGCUCCUCCUGCGUCUGCUUUAUACCCUGUGAAGGUGUCCUUAAUUUUUCAACAGCACAUCUCUUAUUUUUUUGUUGCCUUGGUAACCGUGUCGGUGGUCAUAAGAUGUCCGUUUUGGUUUGGCCUUGUAAGUGUUGAGCUGCGUGGAACUGGACGGUGGGGCUUGUCAGUGUGUGUGGGCUGUGAUGUGAGAGUGAUGAGUGGCAUCUCAGCCCAGAUAACUAUCUUGUGUGUGUCACUCAGCUGUGGGUUGGCAGGGUCUGUGAUCAGCAGCUGAGGAAAAUCCACACAGUCAGUGAAAAUAGUAAAAUGGGACACGCUCACAGCUCAUGUAAUUGUAAAGUAGCGAUUAAUGGGAAUAGUAAAGUGGGAGCUCUGCUUAACAGUGAGCUCAUGAAUGCUUUAUAAAGGAGGAUAUCAGUGUCGUCAUGUGAAAACUUUCUAACUGCAUCUCUGAGCAUCUGUGCAGUAAUUUAAUUUUUUUUCCCUUUGAAUAUGAAAACUCUUCCUGGCUCUGGUAAAACCAGCUCAGAGCCCCAUGGGGUAAAGUUCAAAAGGGAUUCUUGGAAAAAAGCUGAUAUUGACAUUAAGCAAGCAGCCAGAGUCCCUUUCAAACACAGAUUUGGAAACAAUCUGCCGGGUUAAGACACCCUUCUGGAGCAUCUCCAUGCCCUAAAAGAAAAAGAAAAAGAAAAAAGUCCUCUUCAGGACUCUGGGACUUCGACUUGACUGUCCCGGACUAUUGGAGUUAGUGCUGACCCAGCAGCAGCAGCAGCAGUGCUCUCCUCCUCACAGGGACAUGCUGGCUGUUAGGUUCCAAAAUGCACACAGCGGUCCUACUCUCAGAUUUACUGGUUAUGGACAUUUUGGCUCGGCAUCAUGAUCGCACUUCUGCAGUGUGUGAUGUUUGUUUGAAGCUGGGUGCAGGCCACAGAGUACAGUUCACUGCUUUGAAGUAUAAAUUUAGGUCUGGUUGGAGCACCUUAUGGGAGAGGAAGGAGACAAAAACAGACAUAUGGAUAUUAGCUGCUGGUUUUGAUAGUAGAGCUGUCCAACCAGGAUCUAUCAGCAGGAGCGUGGGAGAGCAUGAGGUCAAACGUAGGAGCAAGGUAGGGCUGGACAAUACAGCCAAAAUUAUGACCACAAUGUAUUUGUUCUAUAUGUAUGAAUAUCAGCAUUUCUUAUGAUAUUUGAUGUAAUAAAAAUAAAGAGACAGAUCUGUUUGUGUUGUUGACUUUAAAUAUUACGAUGCCAUUUAUUACCAUGUCAUCCCUUUUUAAAAAUUUUACUUUCUGAAAGUGAAGAUAAUACAAACCUGUAAACUACAAAGACAACUACAGCUCCUCAAAAAUGAAGUUCUAACCGGGAUGAAUUAUGCCUGUUUUCUUUUUCUUUAAAGCUGAAAACAUACAGGAUCCAUAUUGAGCACGAUCUGUAUUUGCUCCUUAGAGCAGCCCUGGGUAUCAAAUACAGGAUGCCUAUUUGGGGCUUGGCAACAGUGUAGUGCAGCCCCGGUCAGCUUGGCUCAGUAUAGAGGAAACAACAUGCUCACAACAGGUUGUUUUGCCUUUCUGUGAUCUAUUUCCUGCUAAUUUAGUUAUAAUUAAGUGACUGUUGAGCUUCUACUAUAUGUGAAAAAGCAAUGUGAUUUUACAGUUUGGAUUUUUGCAGGUUUACUUGUGUUUAAUAAAGUAAACUAUGUUCCUUUAUACUGUGCUGUUACCUUCAGACAGAGUUAACCGUUAAAAGUCCUGUUGGGGUCCACAUUUAUCAGGGAUUGACCAUCAGAUUGUUCUGUGUUACUGAUAAAUCCACAACCAGGAAGUAUUUCUCAUCUACAUGAACUAAUACAUAGUCGGGAGCUCGCAUAGGGUGUUUUAUUUUAAAAUACCUGAUGUCAUGCGUGGUUUUUCGUGCUUGACUUCCUGUCUUGAACGAUCGUCUCUGUGUAGAUUCACAUGCAUUGGAAGCGUAGAGCAGCAAAAAUAGACCCGUCUAUAGCAGUGCUGCUCUCGAUGCACUUCUGAUACAGAGCUGAUACGCACCCUGUAUGCGAUGCUGCAUUGAUUAUAAUGGCAACCUAUUUGCUGCAAAAUACACAAUGCUGACGUUACGCACUCAAUAAGGAUCCUGUAUGUUUUAGCCUUUAAGCUUUAAGAUUUAUGAUAGACCGUUAAAAAAUACAGACAAAGACAGACUGCAGUUUAUUUCUUAAAACUUCGGUCAAUCUUUAUCUUCAUUUUUUUAAAUCAUAAACUUCAUUGUCAGUACUGACAUCUUUUCAUUUAGAGUGUUUGCCUCAAGUUGGACCCCAAGUGACUUUGAGAACUUUUUAAUUUAAGCACGCUGGCCCCUUUGUCCAUUAAUUUGAAAUAAAAUCCAAAUUUUUCAUAACACAGUACAUUUUUCAGUAUCACAAACUGACUUAUCUUUGCAGGAUUUUGAGUAAAUUAUAGAAUUUAGAUGAUUUUAAAUUCAUCAAAGCUUUUCAACAUUUUACCCAAUGUUGCAACGUUUUUGGAACUGGGGUUGCAGACUGACCCCAAAGUAGAUGUUGAGAGACGUAGGUCACAGAGAUUGAUUAGAUGGACUUGAACUCAGUUGACAGCUAAUAAGGAAGGAGCUAGAGAAACUUGAGAUUAUCAAUUUGUCUGGUUACAAGUCAUAAGUUUGGACAGAUUUUGGCUUCUAUGAACGGAAGGCCUCCUUGAUAAACCAGCAGCUGUUUGCAGAGUAUACAGAGUUGAAGACUGCGCUGACAACACUACCAAUCUCUUCACUUACCUCUGAAGGCAGCAUGGUAUCAGCAUCAAACACAGAGCUACCAGUUCUGUUCCCAAAGCAAAAGCAGUGCCAGCUGCCCUGGAAAAAGUAACAGAUAUGCCAACAUCUUUACCCAGACACUGGCCAAAUCUCAGCAAGUGCUUAAGUUACAAUAACAGUUGCCAGAUUUAUCUGUAAUACUAUCAUACAGUGCGGUUGGAAAUUCUGGUUCCCAUGAAAUGAUCCCAAGUCCUUCACCAAGCUCUAACUUACCAACUUGCAUACCUGCACUGUAUGAGUAGACAAAGAAUGAGGUACAGCUGUUACCUCCACAAACUGGAUCAUCACAACAGAUGCAUCGACAUCUGUCCAACUCAGAGGUAUGUUAGGGUGUCAUGGUAUGGCUCUAGAGAGGAAUAUGGAGAGCUUUCAAGUUUGCAUAAAGCCCACACUAGUGACACAAGGACACUGCAGUGUGUGACACAUGCACAGACUGGAGCCUUAAAGACAAGAACCUGACCCUAAUAACAAAUCACCCAAACCUGAACUGCACAAUGCAGAGCAUUCAGGUUUAUUUCAUACAAAGAUUGUAAUACUGCGUGAGCGAACUCUCCAUCUCACCAUAAACAACAAACCCUGUCAUAUGAACUGUCAAAAACGUGUCUCUUUGAUGCCAAGAGGAGAAGCCAGCAAAGCUGGAGCUUAUAUUCCCUUAGCUUGUUUGUAAAGAACUUGGCCUUUUUGGGGUCAGGAUUGCAUGAGUACAAUUUUCCACAAAGGUCUCCUCUUCCCUAAAAGAGAUCCCAAAAUAAAGGUUCAGUCUCAAAAUUAGUCCCUCAGUCUCCAAUGAUCUUGGGGAUGAUCACUGAGAAGGCACUGAGCGGAGCUGCCAGCAGUUGUAGUUGGUGCAACAUUAUUUUAUUUCUCCAACGUGUCAUAUGUCCAAUGAGCUGGUAUUUUACCCCUUGUGUUGACGGGCAUUAUGCUUACAUGUAAAAAAUCCAGAGUUUGUAGUUCUUCUUUCAUAAAAUUCACUUGCAAUCCUUUAAUCUUGCACAAACUGUUUAUUACUCUGCUCCCACCUGAGGGUCAGAAGUUGUGAUCAGAAAGCAACAACCAGAGCACAGAUCCAGCCUGACCCAUAUAAGCCUCCUGAGCCGAGCUUUAAAUCUGACCUCCAGCAUCCUCAAAGUGAAACAAGUUUUCUUAAAAAAAACAGUUGUAAACUCAUCAAUAUGAAAUCAACAUUUUACUGCAGUUAUUGAUUUUUCUUUACCCUGUUUGUCUCCACCCCCUCAUGUCAGCCAAGUGAGGCAUACUGUCUCUUUUUUUAUCUCAUCGGUGCUGAUUUAUUCACACAGUCUGGCCCUUAAUACCCUCAUUUCAUGUCUGCUCCCAUUUCUGCUCCCAGUCUGUAUGAAACCAAAAUUCACGUUUUUAAUAGUCCCCCUCUAAUGCUUUUAAACGUGACAUUCAGCAGACACUGCAGCGGCCUCCUUUGUGUUUCAGCCAUAGUUGAUGUGCGUUUGCCAGGUCCAUCCGGCAGUGGAGCCUCUGUGCCGCCUCAGGGUCUCCCACCCCUUUGUGCCUGAAGGAAAGAGAGAGACAAGGAGGGGAGGACGAGGGGAGACAGAAAUAGAGAGAAAGACAGGAGAGAUAGAUUGAAAAGAGAUGUGAUGAUGGCAGGAAGAAUGAAAGAUGACAAUGAGAAGCAUCCUGUCACUCUAUAUCUUUGUAGGUUUUGUCUGUGUGUGAGUGUGUCUGCAUGUGUGUGAUAUAUUUGACACACACGGGGGCCCCGGCUCAGUGCACUUGUGUGUCUGUGUAGUAUCUGCAUGAGAGGCAUAAGUAUGCAUAUUUAUGCAUACGUCCGAGUGGCUUGCGUGCAUACUUGUGUGCACUUGAGUGCGCGCAGUAUCUGUUUUGUGUAUCUGUGUGCGGCAGAGAUAAAGACAUGGAGGAGGAAGGAGGCCGCCAUGGUGCUUAUAUGUCAGCCGGUGCCGGAGGGGGAAUGACUCCUCUCUGUCCCCAACCCAGAACAGAGAGGAGCAUGGCUGACUUCUCCUGCUUCUCUGCCUUUUUCUCACCCUCUCCUUCAGAAAUGUAGCUAAAACCUUCACCACAGCCUCUCCCUCUCCCCAAAUCUCCCUCCCUCUCCAUCUCUAACUCUCUCUGACUCACACACAAACUCGUACACUCGCUCGCUCGCUAACUCACAGGAGUACCUCUUGCAUUAAAUCCCCUCCUUUUCCUCCUCUUGUGCUCCUCAUCCCCUUAACCCGCCCGUUCUCCCUCCUCCGCUCCUCUAUAUCUACCUCACGCUUCCAGUUUAAGCCCUCCCACCUUUUCCUGCUGCCAUUUUUCACUACCCUGCAGCUAGAUGUCAACUUGUGAUUCUGUAUUAACCCCAUGAUCCUCACAAACACAAGCACACAUACACACACACACACACACAAACACACACACACACACAGACAAUCUCUCACGCUCCUGUUAGUCCCUGCAUCAAGCUGAUCCCCUCUCAGGAAAAUGGAAAAACCAACCCAACAACAAUAACAAAAAACAAGGCUUCUGAUACUUCCUUCCCUCUGUUCAAUUAAACAUGGCCUCCAUCUGCUUUUUUGUUUCGCUUAGGCUUCUCUUCUGCAAUAUUGACUAUGGUUGUUCUUGUGAUUGUUUCUAAAGACUGUGUUUUAACCUGUUAUAACCACAGAUGUACGUAUUAACACUGGAGGAACAUGUGAAAUAGAGAGUGUGUGUGUAUGUGUGCGUGGAUGGAGGAGGGUGGAUUUGUUCUGCUUCAAGGUUCUGUGCCAAAUCUUUUCAGAACAUUCAAUCUCUGUUCAUGUGCCAUACUGAGAAAUUUAUGAAAUAAAAAUAACAUUUUUUCACAAAAUUCAAAGUCAGAUUGGGCUGCUUUAUUUUUUCAACAUGGGUCUAUAUUAAAUGAGAGCGGAAAUCCAAUGUUUAUUUCUCUGCUUAAAAGUGUGUGUGUGCGCGCGUGUGUGUGGUGUAAAUUGGAGAUGUGUAUGUUCUCUCUUGUCUCGCUUUUUUCGCAUAGAGCCUGCACUUCUUCUUUAUAUCAGUUUCUUUUUUUCCUUUUCUAGUGUGCUGCAGAAGUGUGUGUGUGUGUUUGUGUGUGUGUGAGUGUGUGUGUGUGUGUGUGUGUGUGUGUGUGUGUGUGUUUGAAGGCAUUGUGUCAGUGUGCUAAAGCUGAUUUGACACCAACACUACAGACCAGCUAGCUGCAGGCUCUGUAUCCUGACCCGAGUGGCUGACCUCCACCUGCGCCCCAAGACUGAUCAUGUGCGUGUUUGUGUGUAUUCAAAUGGUUGUGCGUGUGUCUUGUAUGUGGGCUGCUGUUUAGCUGACAGUUAAUACUUAGCUUGUGCUGGUUGGGUUUGCCAAGAGGUCGGUUUCUGAACGCAACUGACUCUUGGUUUCAACGAUGGUGUGUGAGUGUAUGUUUGUGUAGGGGGGUGCUGGAUAGUGUCAUUGGAUGGGUUUACAUUGAUUCUCCUUUGCUUAGAUAAUCUAUUUAAACACUGAAGCUCUGGCAGUUAAGUAUCCGUCAAUCAGCUCAAAGGCUUUGCACUCUGAGAGUGUGAGAUGUUAUUUCAGUGGCGUGCCCUCAGAACAAAUCAGCAGACAAACCUGCUGACAGCUGGGCACGAGCAGCGAUACGAAACAGAUAUCAACUCUUUGUUUGUGUGUCUAUGUGUGUGUGUCUCACUGUGUGAUUUAAAGGAAUAUUCCGGCGUAAAAUAAAUUUAGGGUCAAACACACCAAAACGCCGAGUUAGACAACCCCUCGAGAGAUUAAUGUAGCCCACCGCUUGCUUCUCUAGUUAUACCAAUUUUAGUAACGACCGCACAAUAGCAACACACAGCGGUCUAAAGAGCCACGCACAAACCUCAACCAAAAUGCCACUCUCUAGCCACAAAUAAUGCUCAGAACAGCACCUAACUUCAUCAGCAGUACAUGUAGGUGGCCAGCCAUAGUACUAGCCACCAAACAUCUUUUUAGCUUUGCCUAACUGCUUUAGCAAAGAGACGAAACACAACUCACCUACUCUCUUCCAGCAGCUGCUUGCAGUCAUUUCCGUUGGCAACCUAAAAGAGGCGGUAGUCCGGCUGUCGUAAGCCCCCCUUUGAUAAGUAGCGAUAGAUUGCUUUGUAAAAUUCAUCUAUGUUUUCGCCCGAAACUACAAUGCCAUGAAACCUAUUCCAGUGAAAACCACUCCUGUAAUGUCUGGACCAACCACCAUCUUCAACGUCAUAUGAACCAACCUUCAGACAAUCAUAUAGCGUGAGGUCAUCUAUAGGCACCAGGCCCCAAGCCGAUCUG